UGGCUCUGAGUGAACGCUAUGCAAAUGCUUGACACAUGCUAAUCGAACGUCAAUAUUUCAUUUUUUUUAAUUAGCUAUAUUGAAGUGGUGUACAGGUGAGUAAUUGGUAUUAUGGCUACCUAGAAGUAAGGCAAAAUAAAUCCCUUAUAAGAACAAUUUGUUAUUCUUUAUUUAUAAUAAUGAUAAUUUUUACCCCAGUUAGAUUUUGUAUAAAUAAAGUUAGGUUAAUUAUAGCAAUAAUAAGUGGUUUAAAAGAAAGAGUAUUUCGCUUCUAGUUGAUUAUUAAUAACCGCCGGAUAAGUAGUAAGUAUGGUAAUGGCAUACUUAGCUUGUAUCCGUAGUCAGGACUGAGAGGUCUAUUGACCACACUGGGUCUGAAAAAACCCCAGUGCGUGUAGUACAGCAGUGAGGAAUUUUGGUCAAUGGCCUAACGGCUGAACCAGCAACUUGCAGGAAUGAGAGUUAAUAUAAUAAGUUUAUUAACUUGCUUGACUAGGUCUUAUAAAAUUCUGGAUAAAGCUUAUUAUGAAAACUUUAUAUCCAUAGGUCUCGACCAAAUCUUGUGCCAGCAGUCGCGGUAAGACAAGGGAGACGAGUGUUAUUCAUCUUUAACAGGUAUAUAGGGUACCUAGACGGUGUACAAAGGCUUAGAUAAGUACCUAUUACACUUGAGUUUGAUAUGUGAGAGGAAUAUGUCAGAAUUAUUGGUGGAAAGAUGAAAUUUGCUAAUACUAAUAGGACUGAUAAUGGCGAAGGCAAACCUCUAUGUACAUGUAUUUUGCUUUGUCGGCGUAAAGACAAAAACAUUAAUACUAUAACUGACGUUGAGGGACGAAGGCUCAGAGAGUGAAGAGGAUUAGAUACCCCCGUAGCCUGGGCAGACAAUGAUGAGUGCCAUAGGUUGGCUUUAGGCCGAACUAUAAAUGAAAGUGCAAGCACUCCACCUCAAGAGUAAUGUGGCAACGCAGGAACUGAAAUCAUUAGACCGUUUCUGAAACCAGUAGUGAAGUAUGUUAUUUAAUUCGAUGAUCCUCGAAUAACCUUACCACAAUUUGAAUGAUCUACAAGAUAAUACACAAAUUUGGAAAUUAGUCCAAAGAAAGGAAAUGUUUGUAGACCACAUGCGUUGCAUGGCUGUCUUCAGUUAAUGUCGUGAGAUUUGGUUAGGUCCAUUAAAUUAACGUAAACCCUUGCUUUAUUUAAUAAUAUAAAGCUGCUCUCCGCUGAUAAUUGGAUGUGAUAAUAGGGACUAAGACAAGUCAUCAUGGCCUUAAUAUUGUGGGCUAUAGACGUGCCACAUGUGCCUUUACAAAGGGAUGCAAUAAUGCGAAUUGGAGCUAAUCCCCUAAAAAAGGAUAAAGUAUGGAUUGUAGUCUGAAAUUCGACUCCAUGAAAAAGGAAUUACUAGUAAUCGUGAGUAAUCACAUCACGGUGAAUUUUAUCUCAGAUAGGUACUAACCACUCGUCAGGCGCUGAAAGGAGUAUGUGCAAUAAGUUUGGUGGCUGCCAAUUGAUAGUCUAAAUAGAAAGGUUUAGAUCUUUUGGCUGAUACAUCUUCGUAUGCGUGACUCUGAUUAGUGUUAAGUCGAAAUACGGUUCGGGUUGGGGAACUAGCC
This 1616-nucleotide ribosomal RNA is filed under the name Schizochytrium aggregatum. RNAcentral describes it as "partial Bacterial small subunit ribosomal RNA". It matches the Rfam family "Bacterial small subunit ribosomal RNA". The record is from RNAcentral. Lineage: Eukaryota; Bigyra; Thraustochytrida; Thraustochytriidae.